This 484-nucleotide ribosomal RNA is filed under the name uncultured bacterium. RNAcentral describes it as "partial 16S ribosomal RNA". It matches the Rfam family "Bacterial small subunit ribosomal RNA", at positions 29 to 507 of the family's 1533-position model. The record is from RNAcentral.
AUUGAACGCUGGCGGCAUGCUUUACACAUGCAAGUCGAACGGCAGCGCGGGCUUCGGCCUGGCGGCGAGUGGCGAACGGGUGAGUAAUACAUCGGAACGUGCCCAGUAGUGGGGGAUAGCUCGGCGAAAGCCGGAUUAAUACCGCAUACGACCUGAGGGUGAAAGCGGGGGAUCUUCGGACCUCGCGCUAUUGGAGCGGCCGAGGGCAGAUUAGCUAGUUGGUGGGGUAAAGGCCUACCAAGGCGACGAUCUGUAGCUGGUCUGAGAGGACGACCAGCCAAACUGGGACUGAGACACGGCCCAGACUCCUACGGGAGGCAGCAGUGGGGAAUUUUGGACAAUGGGCGAAAGCCUGAUCCAGCAAUGCCGCGUGUGUGAUGAAGGCCUUCGGGUUGUAAAGCACUUUUGGCGGGAACGAAAAGGACUGUGCCAAUACCACGGUUCGAUGACGGUACCCGCAGAAUAAGCACCGGCUAACUACGUG